RNAcentral lists this ribosomal RNA (113 nucleotides) under uncultured bacterium. Its description in RNAcentral is "partial 16S ribosomal RNA". It matches the Rfam family "Bacterial small subunit ribosomal RNA", at positions 1369 to 1482 of the family's 1533-position model. The record is from RNAcentral.
CGUUCCCGGGUCUUGUACACACCGCCCGUCACACCAUGGGAGCGGGAUGUACCGGAAGUAGGUAGGCUAACCGCAAGGGGGCCGCUUACCACGGUGCGUUUCGUGACUGGGUG